Molecule: ribosomal RNA, 253 nt
Filed under: uncultured bacterium
Lineage: Bacteria
Description: partial 16S ribosomal RNA
Rfam family: Bacterial small subunit ribosomal RNA
Source: RNAcentral
UACAGAGGGGGCAAGCGUUAUUCGGAAUUAUUGGGCGUAAAGGGCGCGUAGGCGGCGAUUCAAGUGACGGGUGAAAUCCCUCGGCUUAACCGAGGAACUGCCUGUCAGACUGGAUUGCUUGAGGCCGGGAGAGGCGAGUGGAAUUCCCAGUGUAGCGGUGAAAUGCGUAGAUAUCGAGAGGAGCACCUGCGGCGAAGGCGGGUUGCUGGGCUGACACUGACGCUGAAGCGCGAAAGCUAGGGGAGCGAACGGG